GUCUCCCGAGGAAUUCUACACCGUCGUACUUGUACCACAUCAUUAAUAACAAAUCAAUCACAUUCUUUCUUUUUAAAUAAAAGUAUAAUAAAAAUAUUUUUUUAUAAUCAUUAUGGGACAUAUAUUCUUAAAAAGAUUAAUUUGAUUGGUUUGUUAUGCCACGUCGCUAAUAUACCCAUUGCAUUCUAAAAUUUGAUGAUUGAUACAUAAAAUUUUAAAUUUAUAUUUUUAAUUAAAUUUAUUUAUAAAUAAAAUAAAAGAAGCGUUUAGUAAUUUAUGGUUCUAAUUUUUAUUUUUAUCAGCUCCUCCAUUAAAAUUUCGUUAAGUUAGAUACAAAAAAUUUGAGAUAUUUCAUCUAAGUUUAUGGAAUAUUCACUUAAGUACCUUUUAGUUUGAAUUUUGUCACUGAUUUAACGAAAAAAAUUAAUAGAAGAGAUAAUAAAAAAAAACCGCAGGUACUAAAUUAAUAUAUUUUAAACCACAGGAUACUAAAAUUAAAAAUUACGAAACUACAGAGGUAGUAUUUGAAGUUUUCUCUUUUAAGAGUUACUAGCCAUCCCUACCGCAAGUGGCAAACAAAUUUAAUAAUUGACAUUCGAAAUUUUAGGUUCGAAGUUUAAUUGUUUUAUAUUUUCAACCAAGUUUAUUUCUAAAACAAAAUAAACAAAAAACAGAUAACAUACAAUCUUUCUCUCAAUUUUUUUUUUAAAGUUUUAUUAUUUUAUGUGACUCAAAAAUAAUUGAUUUGAUAUAUAUUUUACAUAAAGUAUCAGUAUUUAUUAUGAUAAAAAAAAUUAAAAAUUCCUGAGUAGGCGCGUGUAUGAUUUGAGGAGCCUGUUUGGGUUGAUUUGCUAUUUUCAUUCAUUAGAUCAUAUUAUUCAAUUAAUCAUCCACUCAAUUUUAAAACACUACUAUCAUCGAAAGCCUACAAACACCAAUUAGGUAAUAUUUUUAAAAACAUAAAAGUUCAAUUCUUUAUGUGGAUAGUCUCUCCACGUAAUUUUU
This 1005-nucleotide long non-coding RNA is filed under the name Ananas comosus (pineapple). RNAcentral's name for it is "long non-coding RNA (ACOM_LNC008121)". The record is from RNAcentral. Lineage: Eukaryota; Viridiplantae; Streptophyta; Magnoliopsida; Poales; Bromeliaceae.